CAAAAAGUAACAAUCAAAUACCAAUUGAUGGUUUCAGAGUAGUGAUCCUCAAGGGUCAUUUUAAAGAUAGACCUUUAAUCAUAUGCAUCAUUCACAAUUAAUGACCGUUACAUUAAAAUAGAAAGAAAAAAAGCUAGCUCUCUUUGAAUUAAUAAUAUUAUUAUGCCAUGGUUAGAAGUUACAACUUUUUCUUUUUUUUUUUUUUUGGUAGGAACAACUUUUUCUUUUUUUUGUGCAACAGAAGUUAGAACUUAAGAACACAUAAAUUGGUAAAACUAGUAGAGAGAUGCAAUUAAUAGUUUCCUCAUAGAAAAUAAUGUCUGUUGCUUUCUUAAUGGGCUUUUACAGACACUUAAAAUAUUGUCUUUAAAGCCCAAUUUUA
RNAcentral lists this long non-coding RNA (382 nucleotides) under Capsella rubella. RNAcentral's name for it is "long non-coding RNA (CRUB_LNC004018)". The record is from RNAcentral. Lineage: Eukaryota; Viridiplantae; Streptophyta; Magnoliopsida; Brassicales; Brassicaceae.